RNAcentral lists this ribosomal RNA (486 nucleotides) under uncultured bacterium. RNAcentral's name for it is "partial 16S ribosomal RNA". It matches the Rfam family "Bacterial small subunit ribosomal RNA", at positions 28 to 507 of the family's 1533-position model. The record is from RNAcentral.
GAUGAACGCUGGCGGCGUGCCUAAUACAUGCAAGUCGAACGCUGGAGCUCUAGCUUGCUAGAUCGAAGGAGUGGCGAACGGGUGAGUAAUACAUAAGCAACCUACCCACGAAGACUGGGAUAAUCUCUAGAAACGGGGACUAAUACCGGAUAGGUAAUCGGCAGGCAUCUUCUGGUUAUUAAAGGUUAAAAACACUGGUGGAUUGGCUUAUGGCGCAUUAGUUAGGUGGUGAGGUAACGGCCCACCAAGACGAUGAUGCGUAGCCGGCCUGAGAGGGUGAACGGCCACAUGGGGACUGAGAAACGGCCCAGACUCAUACGGGAGGCAGCAGUAGGGAAUUUUGAGCAAUGGGGGCAACCCUGACCGAGCAACGCCGCGUGAGUGAAGACGGCCUUCGGGUUGUAAAGCUCUGUUGUAAGGGAAGAACGGUAGAUAGAGAAUGUCUAAGUGACGGUACCUGACCAGAAAGCCACGGCUAACUACGUG